AAGAAACUAACAAGGAUUCCCCUAGUAACGGCGAGUGAAGAGGGAAGAGCUCAAAUUUGAAAUCUGGCAGUCUACGGCUGUCCGAGUUGUAAUCUAGAGAAGUGUUUUCCGUGCUGGACCGUGUACAAGUCCUUUGGAACAAGGCGUCAUAGAGGGUGAGAAUCCCGUCUACGACACGGACUCCCAGUGCUCUGUGAUACACUCUCAACGAGUCGAGUUGUUUGGGAAUGCAGCUCAAAAUGGGUGGUAAAUUCCAUCUAAAGCUAAAUACAGGCGAAAGACCGAUAGCGAACAAGUACCGUGAGGGAAAGAUGAAAAGCACUUUGGAAAGAGAGUUAAACAGUACGUGAAAUUGUUGAAAGGGAAACGCUUGAAGUCAGUCGCGUCUUCAGAAAUUCAGCCUGGCUUCUGCCUGGUGUACUUUUCUGUUGGACGGGCCAGCAUCAGUUUUGGCCGCCAGAAAAAGGUGAGAGGAAGGUGGCACCCUUCGGGGUGUGUUAUAGCCUCUCAUCGUAUGUGGCGGCUGGGACUGAGGACCGCAGCACGCCUUCAAUGGCCGGGGUUCGCCCACGUAACGUGCUUAGGAUGCUGGCGUAAUGGCUUUAAACGACCCGUCUUGAAACACGGACCAAGGAGUCUAACAUGCCUGCGAGUAUUUGGGUGGCAAACCCAUAUGCGGAAUGAAAGUGAACAGUUGGGACUUCUGUCAUGGAAGGCACCGACGCCCGGACCAGACCUACUGUGACGGUUCCGAGGUAGAGCAUGUAUGUUGGGACCCGAAAGAUGGUGAACUAUGCCUGAGUAGGGUGAAGCCAGAGGAAACUCUGGUGGAGGCUCGUAGCGAUUCUGACGUGCAAAUCGAUCGUCGAACUUGGGUAUAGGGGCGAAAGACUAAUCGAAC
RNAcentral lists this ribosomal RNA (901 nucleotides) under Geastrum thanatophilum. RNAcentral describes it as "eukaryotic LSU rRNA". It matches the Rfam family "Eukaryotic large subunit ribosomal RNA", at positions 59 to 940 of the family's 3401-position model. The record is from RNAcentral. Lineage: Eukaryota; Fungi; Basidiomycota; Agaricomycetes; Geastrales; Geastraceae.